Oryza sativa Japonica Group (Japanese rice) is the source of this 5233-nucleotide RNA transcript. It is a transcript of the gene named probable phosphoribosylformylglycinamidine synthase, chloroplastic/mitochondrial, with no coding region annotated. NCBI's taxonomy places the organism in Eukaryota, Viridiplantae, Streptophyta, Magnoliopsida, Poales, Poaceae. The record is from RefSeq and is a predicted model, not a curated record.
AGGAAGGAGCCCCCGACCCCCGUCACUCGUUUCAUUCUCGCUCGCUGUCGCCCGCCCCUUCCCGCGCCGCCACCGCCGCCGCCGCCGCCGCCGCCGCCAUCCCACUAGCCCACCACCUCCUCCGCGCGCUGCUACCGCCAGCCCUCCCACCGCUUACUCUUUCUGUCCACCUCCCGCUGCGUCACGGGUACACCUCGAACCGCUCAGCCGCCGUUCCUAUCUCCCCGGUCCCCCUUUAUAUAUUAUCUCCCGUUGCUUGCUGUCAAGAAUCGAAUCCAAUAGACUUCAAGUUCGAUCAAAUCAUCCUUUUUUUUUCUUCACAAAAGUGAUCCUUGGAUUUCUUCAAACAUGGCAUCUCCGGGUGAAAUGUCAGUAAGCAAUCCAUUACGCUUCCAAGGCUUUCCUUGUAAUCUGGGAAAAAGAAAUGGUUUCAUUGCUGCAAGGAGUUCUGGACUGAGAAGAUCUCAGCAGUGCUUCCAUAGACACCUUUGUUGGCCAGGUGUUCGAAGAGCUUCAGUUCCUAAUGUCCGAUUGCUGCCAACUCCUGGUGCUUUGGUUUCCAGGGGACUUGACAGUUCAUUGGUUCACAAAUCUGAUAAUGCAUCAGAAGCUGGAGUUAUUCAAUUAUAUCGUAUACCAUAUCUUCAAGACAGUGAGACAAUUGAGCUGCUCAGGCAAGUGCAAGCAAAGGUUUCUUCUAAUAUUGUGGGUAUAAAGACCGAACAAUGCUUCAACAUUCAAUUGGAUAAUGCAUUAGCUUCAGAGAAGCUUGCAACACUGCAGUGGCUCUUAGCAGAAACCUAUGAACCUGAUAAGUUACAAGCACAAAGCUUUCUGGAGGAGGAAGUCGCUAGGAACCCUUAUAGUGUCAUUGUUGAGGUUGGUCCCCGGAUGACUUUUUCAACAGCGUUCUCAACCAAUGCCGUCUCAAUAUGUAAAUCUCUCUCAUUGAUGGAAGUAACUCGCUUGGAGAGAUCAAGGAGAUACCUUUUAUGCUUGGAUCCUGGCUAUGGUCCACUUGAUGAAAGCCAGCUUAACGACUUUACUGCUUUGGUUCAUGAUAGAAUGACAGAGUGUGUUUAUCCUAAGAAGCUCACAUCAUUUCAUUCAGAUGUAGUUCCUGAACCUGUCCGUAUUGUUCCAGUCAUUGAAAGGGGAAGAGAAGCUCUGGAAGAAAUAAAUGUGAAGAUGGGACUUGCUUUUGAUGAACAAGAUAUCAAGUACUAUACCCACCUCUUCAGAGAUGACAUCAAACGGAACCCAACCACUGUUGAACUUUUCGACAUUGCACAAUCCAACAGUGAGCACAGCAGGCAUUGGUUUUUUAAUGGAAAGCUUGUGAUAGAUGGAGAGACCAUGCCGAGAACCUUGUUUCAGUUAGUGAAGAGUCCCCUGAAAGCUAACCCCGAUAAUAACUCAGUCAUCGGAUUUAAUGACAACUCAAGUGCAAUAAAGGGAUAUCCAGCAAAUCAGCUACGCCCAACAGUUCCAGGCUCCACUUCACCAUUAUCUGUUAUGAUGCGUGAGCUUGAUAUUUUAUUCACAGCAGAAACCCAUAAUUUUCCAUGUGCUGUGGCACCUUAUCCAGGAGCUGAAACAGGUGCAGGUGGUCGCAUAAGGGACACACAUGCCACUGGAAAGGGUUCUUUUGUUGUUGCUUCUACUGCUGGCUAUUGUGUUGGUAAUCUCCGAAUUGAAGGUGCAUAUGCACCCUGGGAGGAUCCAUCCUUUUCAUAUCUGUCGAAUUUGGCCUCCCCUUUGCAAAUUCUUAUUGAUGCUAGCGAUGGCGCUUCUGACUAUGGGAACAAGUUUGGUGAACCUCUAAUUCAGGGAUUUACUAGAAAUUUUGGGACGAGGUUGCUUAAUGGGGAACGGCGCGAGUGGCUGAAGCCAAUAAUGUUUAGUGGGGCAAUCGGGCAAAUUGACCAUGCACAUAUAUCUAAGGGGGAUCCAGAAAUUGGCAUGCUAGUUGUGAAGAUUGGUGGCCCAGCAUACAGAAUUGGUAUGGGUGGUGGUGCUGCCUCCAGCAUGGUUAGUGGACAAAAUGAUGCAGAGCUCGAUUUCAAUGCAGUACAGCGUGGAGAUGCUGAAAUGGCACAGAAAUUAUAUCGUGUGGUCAGGGCAUGUGCGGAAAUGGGAGAGAGCAACCCUAUCAUCAGCAUUCAUGACCAGGGUGCUGGAGGAAACUGCAAUGUGGUGAAGGAAAUAAUCUAUCCUAAGGGCGCUGAAAUUGAUAUACGAUCAAUUGUUGUCGGUGAUCAUACAUUGUCUGUCUUGGAGAUAUGGGGUGCUGAGUACCAGGAACAAGAUGCACUUCUGGUGAAGCCUGAGAGCAGAAGCCUUUUAGAGUCACUUUGUGAAAGGGAAAGGGUUUCAAUGGCUGUCAUUGGGACAAUCAAUGGAUGUGGAAAGAUUGUUUUGAUUGACAGUGCUGCUGUGGAGCAUGCGAAGUUAAAUGGCCUUCCUCCUCCAACCCCUGUUGAGGAUCUCGAGCUUGAAAAGGUUCUAGGAGAUAUGCCCCAAAAGACCUUUGAAUUCAAGCGAGUCUCUGUAGUCAGUGAGCCCUUAGAUAUUGCCCGUGGAGUAACAAUCAUGGAUGCUCUGAAGCGAGUAUUGAGUCUUCCAUCUGUAUGCUCUAAGCGUUUCUUAACCACAAAAGUUGACAGGUGUGUGACAGGUCUUGUUGCACAACAGCAGACAGUUGGACCUCUCCAACUUCCUCUUGCAGAUGUGGCUGUGAUCGCACAGACAUACACUGAUCUAACAGGUGGUGCCUGUGCCAUUGGAGAACAGCCAACGAAAGGUUUACUUAAUCCCAAGGCCAUGGCAAGACUUGCUAUUGGGGAAGCCUUGACUAAUCUGGUUUGGGCUAAAGUUUCAUCACUUUCUGAUGUCAAAGCAAGUGGUAACUGGAUGUAUGCUGCAAAGCUUGAUGGAGAAGGUGCAGAUAUGUAUGAUGCUGCUGUUGCAUUGGCUGACUGCAUGAUUCAACUUGGUAUUGCAAUUGAUGGGGGAAAGGACAGUCUUUCCAUGGCAGCUCAAUGUGAUGGUGAGGUCGUCAAGGCUCCUGGAAAUCUGGUCAUCAGUGCUUAUGUGACAUGUCCUGAUAUAACAUUGACGGUAACUCCUGAUUUGAAGCUUGGCAAGGAUGGAGUUUUGCUGCACAUUGACCUCAGCAAAGGAAAGCGCCGGCUUGGUGGUUCUGCUCUUGCACAGGCUUUUGAUCAAAUUGGAAAUGACUGCCCAGACAUUGAUGAUGUCCUGUACUUGAAGAAAGCCUUUGAGGCCGUUCAGGAAUUGCUUGGUGAGCGUCUUAUUUCAGCUGGCCAUGACAUUAGUGAUGGAGGUCUUAUUGUGAGUGUUCUUGAGAUGGCAUUUGCUGGUAAUUGCGGUGUUAAGCUGAACAUUGACUCAGAAGAUUCUAGCCUUCUUCAAGCACUAUUUGCCGAGGAGCUUGGCCUUCUACUUGAAGUGCAUUUGAAAGAUCUGAGUGUUGUGAAACAAAAGCUUCAAGCAGGAGGCAUUUCCGCUAAUGUAAUUGGAAAAGUUACAGCAUCACCAGAUAUUGAGCUGGUUGUUGAUGGCAGGCUGCAUCUUAAGGAAAAAACUUCAGAUCUCAGGGAUAUCUGGGAGGAAACAAGCUUCCAGCUUGAGGGGCUACAACGUCUGAAAUCUUGUGUCAGACUUGAGAAAGAAGGAUUAAAGCACAGAACAUCACCAUCAUGGUCUUUGUCUUUCACUCCCAAAUUUACAGAUGAAAAACUGCUGACUGCAUCCUCAAAGCCAAAAGUUGCCAUCCUUCGUGAAGAAGGGAGCAAUGGUGAUAGGGAGAUGGCUGCUGCAUUCUAUGCUGCUGGAUUCGAACCAUGGGAUAUCACAAUGUCAGACCUCUUAGCUGGGAAGUCUUCUCUAGAGGAUUACCGUGGGAUUGCGUUUGUCGGUGGUUUUAGCUAUGCAGAUGUUCUUGAUUCAGCUAAAGGUUGGGCUGCAUCAAUCAGGUUUAACCAACCCCUCAUACAGCAGUUCCAGAAUUUCUACAAUAGGCCGGACACUUUCAGCCUUGGGGUGUGCAAUGGUUGUCAGCUAAUGGCUCUUCUUGGCUGGGUACCAGGAUCAGACGUUGGAGGUUCUCUUGGUUCAGGUGGGGACAUGUCCCAGCCAAGAUUUAUUCACAAUGAAUCUGGUCGUUUUGAGUGCCGGUUUACUAGUGUCUCUAUAGGGGCCUCUCCUGCUAUCAUGUUCAAAGGAAUGGAAGGUUCUACAAUGGGCAUUUGGAGUGCUCACGGUGAGGGGAGAGCUUUCUUCCCAGAUGAAAAUGUUCUAGCUAGUGUUGUAAAGUCUAACCUGGCUCCUGUGCGGUACUGUGACGAUGCUAAUAACAUAACUGAAGUCUACCCAUUCAAUCCCAAUGGCUCUCCACUUGGCAUUGCAGCCCUUUGCUCCCCUGAUGGAAGACAUCUUGCUAUGAUGCCACACCCAGAGCGUUGCUUCAUGAUGUGGCAAUAUCCAUGGUCUCCCAAGGAUUGGCAGCUUGAGAAGAGUGGUCCCAGCCCCUGGCUGCGCAUGUUCCAGAAUGCUAGAGAAUGGUGUUCAUAAUGCAGUUGUGUAACAUACCGGGACCUAAUUGAUGGUCAUAUGAUGACAGAAGCUUGGAGCUAUGGACUCUUUUGGAUACUUAAACCUUGCUGGUUCGAUGCACUCAGCAGUCAGCAUUGUUGUUACCGAGGAUCGAAUAAGUGGGUUCAUCGAAAUAAUUAAAAGCAGAUUCUGUGAUUCUUGCUUGCAGCUUUGAGUUUUGCUGCUGGUUUGAAACUAGGAAUCCUGUAAGGGUAGUAGUGUUUUAUUAGGCAGAGGCGAGGAGGCCUCAGGCCUGCAAUAUGCUGGUUCUGCUAUUGGAUGCGCAGCAAUUUGCAGUCCUGCUGUUGAUGAACCGUAUUGUCGAAGGUAAUAUGGGAUUAUGGAUUGUUGAUUUUACAGGUGUAGAUUUACAUUUGAUUGUACGCUUGUUUACCGGUUACUGUCAGUGGCUUUUGGGGGUUUUGUGUUGUUGUUUGACCACCCAACCCAACACCAAGAGGUUUCAUUUCACCGUGCGAUCGAUACAUAUGGGGAUAGACACAAGAGAAUUGGAGAAGUCAAAAAGUUUUUUAAGCAUUUGGGAUGAAUUAGUAAUAGAACUUGUGUGCUGAGUUGUUUCAGGGACUAAAUAUCUUGUGUGCUGGAUUGUCGUGCA